Molecule: long non-coding RNA, 1971 nt
Organism: Syngnathus typhle (broad-nosed pipefish)
Lineage: Eukaryota; Metazoa; Chordata; Actinopteri; Syngnathiformes; Syngnathidae
Exons: 12
Source: RefSeq, a predicted model, not a curated record
UAUAAGACUGUAGGAAGUCGUGCAACGCACCGUGGAUGAUUUUGUGGAGGUCCAUGGUGGUUUUCUAACUACAGAAAAGAAAUGCACACAGGCUUAUAUGCGUGGGAGUGGUCCCGCUGACCUCAUACCAAGUGCACCCACACUGCCGUCAGACCAUAUAGGGCACGCUUACAUGAACAAGUUGCAAAACAAUUUAUUACGACACUUUGGCUUUAGAUAAGCUUCGAAUUUUAACAAUAAAGUACUUUGCCUACAUGUCACAGUCUCAAUUAAACAUAUAAAGCGCAUUUAUUGAUGUGAAAUGAGGACGUUAAUCAGUGCACGUGUGGAGAGUUUGUCAUCCAGCAAUAAUUCUCAGCUAGAACAGUUAGCAAGUGGGCGACGAUGCGAUGCUAACCCAAUGCUAAGCUCGUAUGUGUUUUUUACAGCGCAUUAGUACAACGACGGAAGGGUUUCCCCAACUUUUGCUCACUUGGCGACGUCAACCUUCACCUCAACCAUCAGCUUGGACGGGAAAUAACUGGGGUGAAACUGUCCCCCGGUGAUGGAUGGUCAAAGCCAGCCGAGGGCACAUAUGAAUAGUGACGUCACACUUUCCCCUCUUUCUGAUUGGUUGACAAUCCCCGCUCCCUGCGCACGUUUGUCGUUUCCCCUCGGGCCCAUUAUCAGAUUCCCAGCGCAGGAUCCCGGCAGCUGCGGUUAUUGUGGAAGACUACGUUUAUAGCCCCAUGAUGUCUGUGACAACACCGGCUUUUAUGAUGGAUGGAGCGUACCUGUCACAACCGAGUAGCUCUGGGAGACGCUGGAGGCCAGGUCGGAGCUGCCGCUGCUGGAGAGGCUGGGCUUCACGUCUUCCAGGCCGGGGUUCAGGGACGGGACGCCUCCCGAGAGUUCCGCUGGACUCCGUUCAGGAGGUGCUGAUCCAAACUUGAGGUCACGUCAACCCGCCCUGGCCCCCGACUACUGUGGUUGAAGUCCCAACUCUCACCUAUGGUGUGUCCCGGCGUGGAGAGCGGCGUGACGGAUCCGUCGGGGGACGGGUGGAACUGCUGCUGGACUUUGGUGCGGAUAAUCCUGAUACGGACUGCUCAAAGAGAACCCAAACGUGGGGUCGCACAUCUUGAUGGAGGAAGGAUAUAGAAUACAUGCUAACGAAGAGUAGCACGGGAGGCAAUACAUCGAGAAUGAUCACAACUCCGAAAUUGUUCGACAAAGCUGCCGCGUCGUCUGCGGUCCUCAAGUAAGGAGUCAUCUUGAUGGACACCCGCACAUUAAGCUGCCGGCCGAGCCUUUCCCUUCAGCCGUCGAGAUGGAUUACUGAGGACCGCUGUUCAGACUGAGCGGAAGGAGGAAGAGGAGGGGGCAGCAGAUGAUGCGGGUCUGCGUGAGAGAUGCCACACCUGAUUACAGGUGACGUCAUCUCCGGUGGCAGAUACGUCCAACACCAUCUUUCACGAAACUUGACUUUGACCCUUUAAAGAGGCGUCCAAAUUGAAUGCCUGAGGGAAAACGUAUGCAAUAUCAUCCUUUCCUGAGGUGUUAAGUUGCUUUUUGCUUGUUAGCUCUGCCCAAGUUCCUUCAGAAACACGUCAAGGAAACAAUGUAGAAGGAAGUAAGAGAUAAAGUUGCUGCAGCUCUGUUUAUUUGCUGUGUCAACGAUUGAGAGAUGACACUGUUUCUAUGCGGGAGAGGAAGAGGAAUCUGGCCCGGCCGCAUUUCCUCGGGCCAAAAACAUCACUUGAAGAGGCUGAGGAGGAUUACUGACACUUUGUUUGAAAGCUGAAUAUCCUGUCUUUACGUCCAUUUACUGGGAGCUGAGUCAUCAUCAAUCACUCAUUUUUAAGUGGGCAAAAGAAGAAAAACAUUUCUUUACACUUAUAAAAUUGUGUAUUUUUAGGACAUAAAUUGGUAUUGGUCAAAAUCUUCUGUCAGAUGGGUGAAUGACAAAUAAGCAAAUAAUAAAAGAUCCUA